CCUCUGACUUUUAACAGCCGCGGUAUCCUAACCGUGCUAAGGUAGCAUAAUCACUUGCCUAUUAAUUAUAGGCUAGAAUGAACGGGAUCACUCACUUAAACUUAUUUUUAUUUAAAUUUAAAUUAAACUUUAAGUCAAAAUACUAAAUUAAAAAGAAAGACAAAAAGACCCUGAAAACUAUUAGAAAUAAUUAGUUGGGGCAACUAUAGACCACUCUAGCGUCUAUUUUUUUUUAAACUCUUAAAUCUAAAGUAUCCAGUUACUUCAGGGAUAACAGACUAAUUUUAUUAUUUAGACCCAAUAAAUAAUAAAGAUUGGCACCUCGAUGUUGGCUUAUAUUUCCUUCAUAUUGCAACAUAUAUAGAAGGCAGCUGUCAUCG
RNAcentral lists this ribosomal RNA (380 nucleotides) under Stygocapitella sp. 210_05. RNAcentral's name for it is "partial large subunit ribosomal RNA". It matches the Rfam family "Bacterial large subunit ribosomal RNA", at positions 1912 to 2583 of the family's 2925-position model. The record is from RNAcentral. Lineage: Eukaryota; Metazoa; Annelida; Polychaeta; Parergodrilidae.